This 214-nucleotide long non-coding RNA is filed under the name Phasianus colchicus (ring-necked pheasant). RNAcentral's name for it is "lncRNA (ENSPCLG00000009186.1)". Lineage: Eukaryota; Metazoa; Chordata; Aves; Galliformes; Phasianidae. The record is from RNAcentral.
GUUUUAAUCCUUCUUCUCUGGGGACUGGCAGCCCUUCUAACAGCUGUGGGGUGUUACCAUAACCUCAGCCCUCUCCAUCUCUGUCUGACAGAUGGCUGGACACACCUUCUUUGAAGAAAGCCACUCUUACUGGGAAGGCACAAAAAGUUCACAGUCAAGAUGAAGUUAUUUUUGAGGAUACAAAGAGCUGUAAUGGGUUAUGGCUAAGGGGAAG